CUGAGUGUAAGACGUUAAUAAAAGCCUUUUGCAAUAAAUGUCACGAAGGGAGGAGGCGAGGGUGUCGGGCUGGUGAUGUCACUCGUUUCCUCUUCCCUUUGGCAGGCUCGCGGUGUUUACCCAACACCCUCAGGUGCAGCGACUGAGGCGUCGCUAGGCAACCGCACCAUCCCUGGCGCUGCUCUGCCUCUGGCACUCAAGAGGGAGCUUAUGUGGACUUAACUCGGAAAAGAGCAGCAGGGCUGAGGAGCGGAAGGGAGGAUUACCAGGAAAAAUAUUGGAUUGGGCCGAGACACAAGGGCCGAGGCCUUACCUGAGUCCCCGCUGCCGUCGAACAUCGACGCCCUGAGAGGCUUUCGGGGCUCGACGAGGUUCCCACACAACCAGAAAGAGACCCCGGCAGAAGAGCAGGUCCCUGAGAUUGACACGCGUGAUGCGCUGUCGAGUGAGUCUGGAGCCCGAGGAACCAGCGGCGCCGGUUAAAGACGAGCCUGUUCCGGACCCCUGAAAGAUGUGGAGAAGUUAAGGAAGAAGGAAACGGUGAGCGAUGCUGACAGCGCAUGACAAACAUCUCUGUGUUUAGUGACGUUACAACUACAAACGUGCUAGUGCAUGACUGUGCAAGUGAGUGGAAGAAGGACAUAGUGUGCUACAAAAGUGAGUACACUCAAUUACAUUUUUGUACAUACCUUAUGUCUUUUCAUUGGACAACAUCUAAAAUAUGACACUUUGAUGCAAUGUAAAGCAGUCAUUGUACAGCUUGUAGGGUUUCUGCAGGUUUUUACCAACUCAAAUUUAAGACUUUUUAAGACGGUACUGCAAGACCUGUAUCACGACAGAAAUGUAUGAACAUCGUCCAAUUGGUGGUAAAUUUCCACUUACCCAUAACGGAUGCAAAAAGCUAGCAAGAUAGCAAGUGUACAUUAGCUGUGAGUUACCAGAAGCCUCAACAGUGAAGUCACAGAAUGCAAAGAAGAUGUCUGAGUGCAACUCAGACUUUUGCCUGAGAUUUAACUCUGCUGCUAAGACACAAUUUAAGACAUGUGACUGUUAUAUUAAAGGCCAUAUUACAUUUUUGCAAGACAUUUUAAGGUCUUCAUUUUAGAUACAUGAAUUUAAGACUUUUUAAGGAUGCGCAGACACCCUGGUUUGUAUAACAGCACAUUUUAUCCCCAGAAACUGAUGCUGCCACCAAAAAACAGUAUGAAUACUUUUGCAGGACUUUGGAAUCAUUCCCUUUAUUAUCUAAGGUCUUCAUAUUUUUGAGAGCAAAUGGAGCUACAAUAAAGCAUUAAAUAUAUCUGCUGUAUGUGUAACACAUCCAUAUAAUACAUGAGUCUCACUUUCUGAAAUGAGUGACAAAAAAAACAAUGAACUUUUUUCAUGAUACUCUGCUUUUUCAAGCUUUUACUUGUACAACAGAGUAUCAGAGAGCAAACUGAGGCUUUCCCAGGGUUAGAGCCUGCAUGUUCUUCUGAGCACACUUCCACCCACGGUCCAAAGACAAGCAGAUUACACUGAUCAACGAUGAGCGAGGGAGCUCGUAAAGACCAUUAGCUCAACCAAAGCGAAUGAUUAUGUUGGCAAAGCAGAAGAGAAGUAAAACCAUUUAAAGGAGAUAGAAGGUAAUAAAAAAGGUAUGUUUAAACGCCUUUUAGUGCGAGGUGAGAAGUCAAUGUGAAUAUUUUGCAGUUUUAAAAAAAGUGACACCUCUCCAAGUAUGCCAUAAAGCGUUAGCUGUAACAUUAAACUGCACUAAAAGCAGUAGGAAGGGAAAACUCUCAAAGGCCAAUGAACAGUUUCCUCAAAAAAAAAAAGUUUUUCUUCACAAGAACGGGGAGUAUAAAGGAUGACAGUCUAAAAUGAAUGCACCAUUUCAUUAGACGUACGUGGAUCAAACUUGUUAUAAUGCGAUGUGUGUUUACAGGAGUCAGCUGACGGUUGCAGUGAGAACAGAGCUCUGCUUGACCUCAUGAGAGCAGUCGCUCUGCAAGUUUCUCUGCUCGAGCAGUUGGUGAGGACCGCCAGUGACAGCUGGUGACAAACUCAGCUUUCUAUCACCAACACGGCCACCGAGAAGCAGGCUCGACUCUCACCGCUAACAUUUGUAACCAUUAACAAAAAGAAUGUUUCAAACAGGAGCUAUAAAUACACUCUGUGACUCCCAGAAAGGAUCUGUUAACGACAGUGCCUUGCUAAAGUAUUCAUAUCUCUUUUUGUAACGUUUUAAUCACAUUACAACCUGAAAUUGUGAUGCGGUAAUCCUGUCACGACAAGCAAUAAAUCAAUUCAUUACACACUAAAUAAAAAAUGACCUUGAUAA
Molecule: non-coding RNA, 2323 nt
Organism: Poecilia reticulata (guppy)
Lineage: Eukaryota; Metazoa; Chordata; Actinopteri; Cyprinodontiformes; Poeciliidae
Source: RefSeq, a predicted model, not a curated record